GACGAACGCUGGCGGCGUGCUUAACACAUGCAAGUCGAGCGGUAAGGCCCUUUUCGGGGGUACACGAGCGGCGAACGGGUGAGUAACACGUGGGUGACCUGCCCUUAGCUCUGGGAUAAGCCUGGGAAACUGGGUCUAAUACCGGAUAUGACUCCAUGACGCAUGUUGUGGGGUGGAAAGCCUUGUGCGGCUAGGGAUGGGCCCGCGGCCUAUCAGCUUGUUGGUGGGGUGAUGGCCACCAAGGCGACGACGGGUAGCCGGCCUGAGAGGGCGACCGGCCACACUGGGACUGAGACACGGCCCAGACUCCUACGGGAGGCAGCAGUGGGGAAUAUUGCGCAAUGGGCGAAAGCCUGACGCAGCGACGCCGCGUGAGGGAUGAAGGCCUC
This 389-nucleotide ribosomal RNA is filed under the name uncultured bacterium. Its description in RNAcentral is "bacterial SSU rRNA". It matches the Rfam family "Bacterial small subunit ribosomal RNA", at positions 28 to 418 of the family's 1533-position model. The record is from RNAcentral.